CCUACGGGCGGCAGCAGUGGGGAAUAUUGCACAAUGGGGGAAACCCUGAUGCAGCAACGCCGCGUGAGUGAAGCAGUAUUUCGGUAUGUAAAGCUCUAUCAGCAGGGAAGAAGAUGACGGUACCUGAUUAAGAAGCCCCGUCUAACUACGUGCCAGCAGCCGCGGUAAUACGUAGGCGGCAAGCGUGAUCCGGAUGUACUGGGGGUAAAGGGAGCGCAGACGGUUGUGCAAGUCGGGAGUGAAAGCCCGGGGCCCAACCCCGGAAAUGCACUUGAAACUGUGCGGCUAGAGUACUGGAGGGGCAGGCGGAAUUACUGGUGUAGCGGUGAAAUGCGUAGAUAUUACGAAGAACGCCGAUGGCGAAGGCGGCCUGCUGGACAGUAACUGACGUUGAGGCUCGAAAGCGUGGGGAGCAAACAGGAUUAGAUACCCUAGUAGUC
RNAcentral lists this ribosomal RNA (440 nucleotides) under uncultured bacterium. Its description in RNAcentral is "partial 16S ribosomal RNA". It matches the Rfam family "Bacterial small subunit ribosomal RNA", at positions 338 to 795 of the family's 1533-position model. The record is from RNAcentral.